UACGAAGGGGGCGAGCGUUGUUCGGAUUGACUGGGCGUAAAGGGCGCGUAGGCGGUUUGCCAAGUCAGGCGUGAAAGCCCCGGGCUUAACCUGGGAACGGCGCUUGAGACUGGCAAACUUGAGUUCGGGAGAGGAUGGUGGAAUUCCCAGUGUAGAGGUGAAAUUCGUAGAGAUUGGGAAGAACACCGGUGGCGAAGGCGGCCAUCUGGACCGACACUGACGCUGAGGCGCGACAGCGUGGGGAGCAAACAGG
This 253-nucleotide ribosomal RNA is filed under the name uncultured bacterium. RNAcentral's name for it is "partial 16S ribosomal RNA". It matches the Rfam family "Bacterial small subunit ribosomal RNA", at positions 524 to 776 of the family's 1533-position model. The record is from RNAcentral.